This 1670-nucleotide ribosomal RNA is filed under the name Schindleria praematura (Schindler's fish). Its description in RNAcentral is "16S ribosomal RNA". It matches the Rfam family "Bacterial large subunit ribosomal RNA". The record is from RNAcentral. Lineage: Eukaryota; Metazoa; Chordata; Actinopteri; Gobiiformes; Schindleriidae.
GCCCGAAAAGCUAGCCCGUUUAAUUAACCUAACAAACAUUAUUAUUAAAUCAACAAAUUUAUCUGAUUAAAAGACAAACCAUUUUACCUUCUAAGUAUAGGAGAUAGAAAAGAAAAAAGGAGCUACACAAGAAGUACCGCAAGGGAAAGCUGAAAGAGAGCUGAAAUAGCCCACUAAAGGCAAGUAAAGCAGAGCUGAAACCUCGUACCUUUUGCAUCAUGAUUUAGCAAGAAGCCCAUGAGCAAAACGAAUUUUAAGUUUAAGACCCCGAAACCGAGCGAGCUACCUCGGGACCGCUUAAUAGAGCAAACCCGUCCCUGUGGCAAAAGGGUGGGACGAUCCCCGGGUAGAGGUGAUAAACCUACCGAGCGAGGUGAUAGCUGGUUCUCUGAGAAAUGAAUAGAAGUUCAGCCUUUAAUUUUUUACGGUCAAAAAAGAACCUUCACAAAAGGACCCGUAAAGGUUUAAGGAGUUACUCAAUAGAGGUACAGCUCUAUUGAGAUAAGACACAACUUUUAUAGGAGGAUAAGGAUUAUAAGGUAAAGCAAGCUCGUGAGUGGGCCUAAAAGCAGCCACCUCAUAAGAAAGCGUUAAAGCUCUAGAACAUAACUUAAUAAAUCCCUACGACACAAUCCUACGCCCCUUAGCGUAUCAGAGCGUUCUACGCCCGCAUAGAAAAGAUUAUGCUAAUAUGAGUAAUAAGGGGGACAGCCCCCCUCGAGUGCACUAGUGUAUGUCAGAUUUGACUCACUACUGAUUUUUAACGCCCCCAAAUGUAGAGGGAAAUGGUUCAUUAGAUAUGACCAGGGAAACUAAUCAAAAAAUAUAAGCGUUAACCCCACACUGGAGUGCCCCUCGAAAGACAAAAGGAGUGAGAAGGAACUCGGCAAACAUAGACCUCGCCUGUUUACCAAAAACAUCGCCUCUUGAUAAAGUAGAAUAAGAGGUCCCGCCUGCCCUGUGACAAAAGUUUAACGGCCGCGGUAUUUUGACCGUGCAAAGGUAGCGUAAUCACUUGUCUUUUAAAUAGAGACCUGUAUGAAUGGCAUAACGAGGGUCAAACUGUCUCCUUACUCCGGUCAAUGAAAUUGAUCCCCUCGUGCAGAAGCGAGGCUGAAACCAUAAGACGAGAAGACCCUAUGGAGCUUUUAGACGCUAGGACACAUCAAGUCAAAUCCCCUAAAUAAAAGGUAUGAACAAAAUGUGGCUGUCCCAGUGUCUUUGGUUGGGGCGACCACGGAGUAAAAACUAACCCCCGUGUGGAACUAAACCACGAAAUUUUAAAUUUAGAGCAACCGCUCACGAGAACAGAAAAUCUGACCAUGCUGAUCCGGCAAAGCCGAUCCACGGACCUAGUUACCCUAGGGAUAACAGCGCAAUCCCUCCCUAGAGCCCCUAUCGACGGAGGAGUUUACGACCUCGAUGUUGGAUCAGGACAUCCUAAUGGUGCAGCCGCUAUUAAGGGUUCGUUUGUUCAACGAUUAAAGUCCUACGUGAUCUGAGUUCAGACCGGAGAAAUCCAGGUCAGUUUCUAUCUAUGGAUGUUCUCUUUUCUAGUACGAAAGGACCGAAAAGAGGGGGCCUAUGCUUAAAGCAAGCCCUACCCCCACCUGAUGUGAUUAACUAAAUCAGGUAACCGGGGGUACACCCUGGCCGGAGAAAAUGGCCUU